Molecule: ribosomal RNA, 2231 nt
Filed under: Clostridioides difficile
Lineage: Bacteria; Bacillati; Bacillota; Clostridia; Peptostreptococcales; Peptostreptococcaceae
Description: bacterial LSU rRNA
Rfam family: Bacterial large subunit ribosomal RNA
Source: RNAcentral
UCAAGUUAUUAAGGGUGCAGGGCGGAUGCCUUGGCACUAGGAGCCGAUGAAGGACGUGAUAAGCUGCGAUAAGCUUCGGGGAGUUGCACGUAAACUUUGAUCCGAAGAUUUCCGAAUGAGGAAACUCACUUAGAGUAAUGUCUAAGUAUCAUUAAGUGAAUACAUAGCUUAAUGAGGGGAACUCAGGGAACUGAAACAUCUAAGUACCUGAAGGAAGAGAAAGAAAUUCGAUUCCGUAAGUAGCGGCGAGCGAACGCGGAUUAGCCCAAACCAAUAAAGUUUUCUUUAUUGGGGUUGCGGACAUAUCAUAACGAAGAGGUAUCGUAAUUGAAGAGGUUUGGAAAGACCCACCACAGAAGGUAAUAGUCCUGUAUGUUAAACGAGAAGACUUCAGAUAUGAUCCAGAGUACCACGGGACACGUGAAACCCUGUGGGAAGCAGGAGGGACCACCCUCCAAGGCUAAAUACUACCUAGUGACCGAUAGCGUAUAGUACCGUGAGGGAAAGGUGAAAAGAACCCCGGGAGGGGAGUGAAAUAGAACCUGAAACCCUGCACUUACAAGCUGUGGAAGCACAUUUCUUGUGUGACCGCGUACUUUUUGUAGAACGGGCCAACGAGUUACGUUAAGUAGCAAGGUUAAGCACUUAAGGUGCGGAGCCGUAGCGAAAGCGAGUUUUAACUGAGCGUUCAGUUACUUGACGUAGACCCGAAACCGGGCGACCUACCCAUGAGCAGGAUGAAGCGAAAGUAAAAUUUCGUGGAGGUCCGAACCCACGAGCGUUGAAAAGCUCGGGGAUGACUUGUGGGUAGCGGUGAAAUUCCAAUCGAGCCCGGAGAUAGCUGGUUCUCCCCGAAAUAGCUUUAGGGCUAGCCUCAAGGUGAGAGAUACGGAGGUAGAGCACUGAAUGUCCUAGGGGGUAUUGCACCUACCGAAGACUAUCAAACUCCGAAUGCCGUCAUCUUAUACUUGGGAGUCAGACUGUGGGUGAUAAGAUUCAUAGUCGAAAGGGCAACAGCCCAGAUCGUCAGCUAAGGUCCCUAAAUGUAAGUUAAGUGGUAAAGGAUGUGGGAUUGCACAGACAACCAGGAUGUUGGCUUAGAAGCAGCCACUCAUUCAAAGAGUGCGUAAUAGCUCACUGGUCGAGUGAUCCUGCGCCGAAGAUUUCCGGGGCUAAAACUUACUACCGAAGCUACGGCAUCAGUAAUGAUGGGUAGGGGAGCUUCCCAUACGGGUUGAAGCAUGACCGUAAGGACAUGUGGACAGUAUGGGAGUGAGAAUGUUGGCAUGAGUAGCGAGAUGUGGGUGAGAAUCCCACAGGCCGUAAACCCAAGGUUUCCAGGGGAAGGUUCGUCCGCCCUGGGUUAGUCGGGACCUAAGCUGAGGCCGAAAGGCGUAGGUGAUGGACAACAGGUUGAUAUUCCUGUACUACCGAUAACCGUUUGAGAGAAGGGAUGACACAGUAGGAUAAGCUAAGCACACUGUUGGUUAUGUGUGCCCAAGCAUUGAGGCAGUCAAAGUAGGCAAAUCCGCUUUGAUAAUGCUGGGAUGUGAUGGGGAGCGAAAUUUAGUAGCGAAGUAGCUGAUUUCACACUGUCAAGAAAAGUCUCUAUCGAGGUUAAAGGUACCCGUACCGCAAACCGACACAGGUGGGUGAGGAGAGUAUCCUAAGGCCAGCGAGAGAACUGUUGUUAAGGAACUCGGCAAAAUGACCCCGUAACUUAGGGAUAAGGGGUGCCACCAUCAGGUGGCCGCAGAGAAUAGGCCCAAGCGACUGUUUACCAAAAACAUAGGUUUCUGCUAAGUCGCAAGACGAUGUAUAGGAGCUGACGCCUGCCCGGUGCUGGAAGGUUAAGGGGAUCUGUUAGAGCAAUCGAAGCAGUGAACUUAAGCCCCAGUAAACGGCGGCCGUAACUAUAACGGUCCUAAGGUAGCGAAAUUCCUUGUCGGGUAAGUUCCGACCCGCACGAAAGGCGUAACGAUUUGGGCACUGUCUCAACAACAGACUCGGUGAAAUUGUAAUUCCGGUGAAGAUGCCGGAUACCUGCGACAGGACGGAAAGACCCCAUGGAGCUUUACUGUAGCUUGACAUUGGGUCUUGGUACUACAUGUACAGGAUAGGUGGGAGGCUUUGAAACCAGGACGCCAGUUUUGGCGGAGCCAUCCUUGGGAUACCACCCUUGUAGUACUGGGACUCUAACCAUAGGCCAUGAAUCUGGUCUUGGGACACUG